Molecule: ribosomal RNA, 253 nt
Filed under: uncultured bacterium
Lineage: Bacteria
Description: partial 16S ribosomal RNA
Rfam family: Bacterial small subunit ribosomal RNA
Source: RNAcentral
UACGAAGGGGGCUAGCGUUGCUCGGAAUCACUGGGCGUAAAGGGUGCGUAGGCGGGUCUUUAGGUCAGGGGUGAAAUCCUGGAGCUCAACUCCAGAACUGCCUUUGAUACUGAAGAUCUUGAGUUCGGGAGAGGUGAGUGGAACUGCGAGUGUAGAGGUGAAAUUCGUAGAUAUUCGCAAGAACACCAGUGGCGAAGGCGGCUCACUGGCCCGAUACUGACGCUGAGGCACGAAGGUCAGGGGAGCAAACGGG